UGAUGGCGACCGGCGCACGGGUGAGUAACACGUAUCCAACCUGCCGAUAACUCGGGGAUAGCCUUUCGAAAGAAAGAUUAAUACCCGAUGGUAUAAUAAAGCCGCAUGGUUUAAUUAUUAAAGAAUUUCGGUUAUCGAUGGGGAUGCGUUCCAUUAGGCAGUUGGUGAGGUAACGGCUCACCAAACCUUCGAUGGAUAGGGGUUCUGAGAGGAAGGUCCCCCACAUUGGAACUGAGACACGGUCCAA
Molecule: ribosomal RNA, 247 nt
Filed under: uncultured bacterium
Lineage: Bacteria
Description: partial 16S ribosomal RNA
Rfam family: Bacterial small subunit ribosomal RNA
Source: RNAcentral